UUCUACGAAGAAAAGUUACCGGCAUAUCUUCGUAGUGAUUGAUGCCUUUACGAAGUUCGUUUGGUUGUAUUCCACAAAGUCAACAAGUUCUGCGGAGGUUAUUAGUCGCUUGAGGAAGCGGUCUGUGAGUUUUGGGAAUCCGAGAAGAAUUAUCUCCGAUCGCGGGACGGCAUUCAUGGCUGGCGCCUUUGAGGACUAUUGUAAUGAGGAAGGUAUACAGCACGUUCGGAAUGCAACCGGAUAUCCGCGGGCAAACGGUCAAGUGGAAAGAAUGAACCGGAUGAUUAUUCUCUUACUGACGAAGUUGUCUGCGCCAACACCAAACGAGUGGUACUUGAACGCAACAAGCUCCAGCAGAAGUACGAACGUUACCCCGUUCCAGCUGUUGUUUGGAACGCGGAUAAGAAAGCAGAGCGAUCCGCAGAUCAGGCAGUUGGUCGAAGACGAGUGGGCCGUGAUGUUCCAGGAGGACCGAGAUCAGUUGUGGCGUAGAAGCAAAGAGACGGAUCGGGGAGAUUCAAGUUAAAAACAGGCGAGCGUUUAACAAGAGACGUAAGAAGACGACAACAUACAAGACGGGGGAUCUGGUGCCGAUCGAGAGGACGCAGGGCGGUCUUGGGCUAAAGCUGCAUUCGAAGUCCCUUGGGUCGUACCGCGUUGUGGAAGUUUUGCGAAAUGACCGUUACAUGGUGCAAAACGACCUUCACGGCGGCUGAUCAUAUGAAACGGUGGGACAUUGUUGGAGUUAGUGAUGCAAGUGAAACUAGUGAUGAUGAACACAUCUGAGGGCAGAUGUGAUUGUCAGAAUGGCCGAGUGUAUUAUCGUGGAAGAAAGGCCUAAGAGGUGAACUAUCGGGCGAACUAUAAACAAUGUCGCGAGAAAGCCGAAGUGCCGACAGGCCCAACAAUGUAUCGUUUGUCCUUCAAUCGAAUAGUUUCGCGGAAAAGGCAGUUGCGGAACACGUGCGUGGUGGGGCUAAGACAAAAGACAAAGAGAUGCUAAGGGACAAAGACGAAUUAACAGACAGUGUUAGUUGAGAAGUCAGAGAGUGUAAAUCGAGAAGUCAGGGAGUGCGAAUUGCGUUGUCCACAGUGUGUUGCUAGUAUUGUCGAGAAAGUGCGGUCCGCGUGAGGGAUCCGUGCUGAGUUGCAAAUUAACUAUCUAGUUUCCUUAAUUAUAAUAUGUUAUUGUGAUUAGUUCACGUUAAACAACCAUCGUUUCCUGUUUAACUAAUAUCUGUUUAAUUCAUUUAUUGUAAAUAAACUAAUUGUAGUAAAGAUCCUACAAAAUAGAGUAUACUAUGUGUAGGACAACUUAUGACAUCGCUGGCUCAAGCAAAUUUAAGAACGUCUGCUUCCUGUUUGGUGUUUACGGACAAUUUAAUGAUUAUUGUCGAAGAUCCAAAACUAUGUGAAGAAAUGCAUCAAUACAAAGUCAUAAACAAAAACUAAACACUAUAUAUUGAAAGUUAGCGCCUUAAUGAAGCAUUUUAUUGAUGCCGAUUACGUGUAGUUAGGACCACGGUCAUGUAAACAGUUCUUGACACGCAUAUACCGAUAGCAUAGAAGAAAUGGUCCGAAAGUUGUGUUGUGAUAAAGGAAAACAAGAAGGGCAUUCUACGUAUGCGUGGCACGCUAUGAAUGUUACAGACAGAGACAUUAGUACUUUAUUCGUCUCCGCCUGCCUCGUAAGAACGAGGCCGAAACUGUAAAACCGUUCCAUGUUCUCUGAUUUCGAUGAUUUGUGAAGCUCAACAUUUUAAACAAUUUUUUCUUCCAUAUGUAAACGGUAGAUGGGCCAUGGUUUCCGAGAAAUUCGCAAAAGCUGUGGGUACAACUGCAGUGUACUUUCGCUGAUAAUUGUGUUUCUACGGUAGCGCACGCAGCAUUGGCUACCAGCGGCCGAAUCUAUCACUCGCUCUCUCUUUGUCUUGACGAACGAGGCUGGGACGAGCUUGGGUAAACUUCAGUACACAGUUGCAUAUGAGAUACUCUAAGAUAUGUCUGUUAUGAUUCAAUCAGAAGCGAAUGUCGUCAAUGUAUUGGGUUUGGGUUUAGACUACUUCUUUCAAUCUGGCCAGAGCGAGACGACCUGCAGCGCUAGCGUGAAGUAAUAACAAACUAAUUAUAAAAAUGGGUUGACCUUAGUGCGAGCGUGUAUCUGUAAUUAGGUUUGUGAUUAUUAAAUAGGAAUGGGACUAUGUGUAUUUUCGACCAAUCGCGGGGAGACGCGUUCGCGAGAUAUCACGUCAACGGGAGUCGUAAAUUCCCGCUACGAUUAUAAUAAUCGACACCACGAUUUGAUCGAUCUUCUCUGAGGAACAAAUGUUAAAGUUCAUUUUGACAUUUACGUUUACUAAGAAAAAUAUCCUACUAUCGAUGAAGCAGGAGAAAAUUGUAGGUAUAUCAGAAUACCGGGAUAACGGAAGACUUUUACAUGUAGGGAAAAGGUUAAUCAACGAUACGGUUUACAGUGACUAAGUGAACUUGAUGAGCAAGAACUUAAUAUUGCGACGUUUAAAUCCGUAUCAAAGGUCAAAUCGGCUGUGCAUAUUUGCCAAUGUGUUUAUAUAUAGUACGUUGUGUUAAGAAAUGUUAAGUUGGUAUGAUCGCUAGUUCCUACAAGCUAAGUUGGUACGACUUGUAACGACGCUCUUCUGUCUCAGGAGUUGACCACGUGUUAAUUAUCUAAGUGGAUCCGGUGUGUUUAGACGUUUUGUACGAGGUGGCGAAAUAUAGAAAGUAAAAUAGAAUCUGUGUGAAUCAAUUAAAUGUCGAACUCAAAAAGCUAUUUAAUAACACGUUGUUCGAUCAAUCGGCGAAUACAAGACAAAUCUUACAAUUUUAAAGUGGUUAUGCACUUCAAAUAUCUAUGUCUCUUGGCGAAAUUUUUAUCAUUGGAUGCUGCUUAGGUUGUAACUACGCUUAUGGACUAUAUGAUGAAUGCAGUAAUACCUCAAUCAACAAAUGCCAGCUUUUGGACUCGCGAAAAACCACAUGCAAUAAUUCGAAAGAUUUAUUCAAGAAUGAAAUUAUGCGCCAGCAACAAUGACAUGUGCAUUAUAUUUGCGAUUUUUACGUUUACGACUUCGUAGAAAAUUUAAAGCAGUACACAGUUAAAGCAAAGGCGUAAACUCUAUCUAUUUCAUACACGAUUGCUCACGAUUUAUGUUAUAGUCGACCACUUUGUCAAUUUUUGAAUGAAACAUUUGUAUUAUAGCGGACAGAAUGCAGACCCGUUGCUCAUAGAGCAUCCCGUUCUCCAUAUUCGACACUAGUGGACUUUGCUCACAAUAAAAUGAAAACUGCGUGUAAUUUAUAAAAUAUAAAAGUCAUAAUGCUUGUUAGUUUCAAUAAAUUCUCGAACGAUAGCGUAGAUGGUUACUACUUAACAAACUUAAACUGCGAUAAUAUCCAUCGAGAUAACGAUCUACAGUGAGAUCCGUUAUAACGAGACGUGAUAAAGUGCACGCGUACCGAGCGAAAAU
Long non-coding RNA from Bombus pyrosoma, 3488 nucleotides. RefSeq lists it as uncharacterized. The transcript is spliced from 3 exons. The record is from RefSeq and is a predicted model, not a curated record. NCBI's taxonomy places the organism in Eukaryota, Metazoa, Arthropoda, Insecta, Hymenoptera, Apidae.